UAUUAGUUCCUAUUAUUCUCAAUUCUAAAAAUCUUUUUUUCUUCUUCUUUGUUGAACACUUCCAUGAGCCUCUCUUACUUUUCAUCCCCAAAAUUUUGAGCAUCUUUUUUUUUUAAGAAAAGAGACUCUUUGUCUCUCAAAUCUCGCAUCAAUAGGCAAUAUCCAUCAAGUUGAAUAUUAAAUGAAGAGAUUUUUCUCCCCUAUAUCCUCCAAGUUGCUACAACCAAUGCAAGUUCAUCGCUUAAAAUGUUCUUCGGGUGGAAGAAAACUUGAACCAAUUAGAAGAAACUCAUCAUUCUGCUAAAAUAUCGAAACAAGAAGUAGAUUUGGAUUCUUUACCGGCAGAUCCAAAGAAAAGAAUAUCCAGUCAAAACUAUCAUGCGGAUGAACAUGAUGAGAUUAGACGGACAUAUAUCCAAAGAGGUCCUCAUCAACCUCGAAUUCACGAUUUUCCUUAAAACGAUAUUUAUGGAUUAAAACGUAUUUUUAAUUGCAAAUGAUUUAAAAAGCUAUCAUGAUUGCUUGGAGUAUAGUGUGACUGAAGAUGCAACUUAUUAUUUCAAGAUGAAAGCAUUCAUCAAGGUGAAGGUGAAGUAUUUUCAAGUAUAGGGUUCAGGAGUUGGCACAAAAAGAAAAGAUUAGAUACACAUAUUGGCAAGUCAAAGAGUGCUCACAAUCCAGCAAAGAAGAAGUGUGAAGAUCUAAUGCGACAAGAACAAUCAAUUCAAGCCGCAUUUGUUAAGCUAUCCAAUCAAAUCAAGCUUGAGCACAAAAUUCGCUGGAAGGCUUCAAAUGAAGUGGUGAGACUUCUCUUGAAUCAAGGAUUGACAUUUCGUAGACAUCGUGAAGAUAAAUUAUCACUAAAUAAAGGCAACGUUUCUUGAAAUUCUUUCAUAGUAUGCGAAGCGGUAUAAUAAAAUUGGUGAACUUGUGUUGAAAAAGGCUCCAAAAAAUGAGCAGAUGACUUCUAAUAACAUUCAAAAAGAUAUUGCAUGUAAGCUUGAAACAAUGAAAGUUAUUAUGGAGGAUCUAAACGGUGACCAUUUUUCAUUGUUAGUUAUGAAUCUUGUGAUAUAUCAAGUAUGGAGCAAAUGACAAUUGUUUUGCGCUAUACUGAUAGAAAGGGGUCUGUGGUGAAAUGGUUCAUAUGAAUUAUUCAUGUUCAUGAUACUAGUGCUUUAUGUAUGAAAGAAGUUAUUGUUAACUAUCUUGUGCAA
This is a non-coding RNA of Solanum lycopersicum (tomato), 1217 nucleotides long. Lineage: Eukaryota; Viridiplantae; Streptophyta; Magnoliopsida; Solanales; Solanaceae. The record is from RefSeq and is a predicted model, not a curated record.